UGCGAGUUGCGUGAGGGAUGGAAGUGGAGCUCUUUUUAUAGAUGGCUUUUUUGCCAGCUAUAAAAAAGCGGGAACGUACAGCCCGACCCGAU
Non-coding RNA from Flavobacterium sp. AED, 92 nucleotides. Lineage: Bacteria; Pseudomonadati; Bacteroidota; Flavobacteriia; Flavobacteriales; Flavobacteriaceae. The record is from Rfam.